CAUGCUGUAUUCCAAUGGCUGCCACAUGCUCACAGAUUGUAUUAGGCAUCAGACUGGUCACUGCUUUAAGAGGGAAGUUCUUUCAAGGUGGCUGGCUGCUACUGCAUCUGUCCUGGUGCCUUGGACUGCCGUGGACCCUGCCCUUACUAUGUUCUGCUGUGCCACAGUGGCCAUCCUAAUGUGUCAUUGGGAUUCUGUUUUCCAUUUCUGUAAUGAUUAGUCAACAUCUCUUAAUUAUACCUGAAUGAGGCUUCGUUAUAUGCUCUUCUGAAGAAAAAAUGGC
Lynx canadensis (Canada lynx) is the source of this 283-nucleotide long non-coding RNA. RefSeq lists it as uncharacterized. The transcript is spliced from 4 exons. Lineage: Eukaryota; Metazoa; Chordata; Mammalia; Carnivora; Felidae. The record is from RefSeq and is a predicted model, not a curated record.